GCCACUUGCAGUAUCUGUGGGAAUGGAAUCGAGGAUGAACACCACGCAGUGGUUAUGUGCACAAAAAACAGAGCCAUCAGAUCUGCCAUGAGGGAUGUGUGGAACUUGCCCCCUGAAAAUAAGUUUAUGUACAUUGGAGACAAUUGGCUGCAAACACUGCUGGACGCUGAAAAUGACGAGGGGCGAGCAAAGAUCCUGCUGACACUUUGGAGAUGCUGGCAUCUAAGAGAAGACUGCCUGCGAAAUCAUGGCAGAGAAUCAAUUGCAAGCUCUAAGCAAUUUCUGACAAAAUAUGAAGAGGAGCUAAAAAAUGCAACUGGACGUUAUCAGGAAGCUGACGAUAAGGGAAAGAGGACAGUAGAGAUAGCAGGGGAUCAGGUAGCAGUAAAUCAUGUCGACCAAUGGUCGCCGCCUACACAGGGUGUUGCCAAAAUUAACACUGAUGGAGCAUUCUUGGGUGAAACCGGUGAAAACAUUGUUGGGGGUGUCGCUAGGGAUCACCAUGGUUUCGUCUUCCUGUCGAUUUGCAAAAAGCUACCGUGCUGCUAA
RNAcentral lists this ribosomal RNA (549 nucleotides) under Triticum aestivum (bread wheat). RNAcentral's name for it is "partial small subunit ribosomal RNA". The record is from RNAcentral. Lineage: Eukaryota; Viridiplantae; Streptophyta; Magnoliopsida; Poales; Poaceae.